RNAcentral lists this ribosomal RNA (515 nucleotides) under Eriesthis vulpina. RNAcentral describes it as "partial 16S large subunit ribosomal RNA". It matches the Rfam family "Bacterial large subunit ribosomal RNA", at positions 1844 to 2619 of the family's 2925-position model. Lineage: Eukaryota; Metazoa; Arthropoda; Insecta; Coleoptera; Scarabaeidae. The record is from RNAcentral.
UUUAAGAUUUGACCUGCCCAAUGAAAGUUAAAUGGCCGCAGUAAUUUGACUGUGCAAAGGUAGCAUAAUCAUUAGUUUUUUAAUUGAAAGCUUGUAUGAAUGGUUGGACGAGAAAAUGACUGUCUCAAUUUAAAUGUAAUAGAAUUUUAUUUUUAAGUUAAAAAGCUUAAAUAGCAUUAAAAGACGAGAAGACCCUAUAGAGUUUAAUAUAUUAAUAAAUAUAAAUUUUUAAGGAGUUAUUAUAUUUUUAUUUAUAUAUGUAUUUUGUUGGGGUGAUAAUAAAAUUAGAUUAACUUUUAUUAGUUAAUAACAUUAAUAUAUGAGUAUUGGAUCCAUUUUUUAUGAUUAAAAGAUUAAAUUACCUUAGGGAUAACAGCGUUAUUUUUUUUGAGAGUUCUAAUCAAUAAAAGAGUUUGCGACCUCGAUGUUGGAUUAAAAUUAACUUUUGGUGCAGUAGCUAAAAAAGUUAGGUCUGUUCGACCUUUAAAAUUUUACAUGAUCUGAGUUCAAACCGG